Molecule: RNase P RNA, 279 nt
Filed under: Escherichia coli
Lineage: Bacteria; Pseudomonadati; Pseudomonadota; Gammaproteobacteria; Enterobacterales; Enterobacteriaceae
Description: partial RNase P RNA component class A
Rfam family: Bacterial RNase P class A
About the family: Ribonuclease P (RNase P) is a ubiquitous endoribonuclease, found in archaea, bacteria and eukarya as well as chloroplasts and mitochondria. Its best characterised activity is the generation of mature 5'-ends of tRNAs by cleaving the 5'-leader elements of precursor-tRNAs.
Source: RNAcentral
ACGCCUGGGGGGGAAACCCACGACCAGUGCAACAGAGAGCAAACCGCCGAUGGCCCGCGCAAGCGGGAUCAGGUAAGGGUGAAAGGGUGCGGUAAGAGCGCACCGCGCGGCUGGUAACAGUCCGUGGCACGGUAAACUCCACCCGGAGCAAGGCCAAAUAGGGGUUCAUAAGGUACGGCCCGUACUGAACCCGGGUAGGCUGCUUGAGCCAGUGAGCGAUUGCUGGCCUAGAUGAAUGACUGUCCACGACAGAACCCGGCUUAUCGGUCAGUUUCACCU